AGAGUAACACAGAAGAAGGUAUUGAAAAGAGUUACACAGAAGAAGGUAUUGAAAAGAGUAACACAAAAGAAGGUAUUGAAAAGAGUAACACAGAAGAAGGUAUUGAAAAGAGUUACACAGAAGAAGGUAUUGAAAAGAGUAACACAGAAGAAGGUAUUGAAAAGAGUUACACAGAAGAAGGUAUUGAAAAGAGUAACACAGAAGAAGGUAUUGAAAAGAGUUACACAGAAGAAGGUAUUGAAAAGAGUUACACAGAAGAAGGAAUUUGAAAAGAGUAACACAGAAGAAGGUAUUGAAAAGAGUUACACAGAAGAAGGUAUUGAAAAGAGUUACACAGAAGAAGGAAUUUGAAAAGAGUAACACAGAAGAAGGUAUUGAAAAGAGUUACACAGAAGAAGGUAUUGAAAAGAGUUACACAGAAGAAGGUAUUGAAAAGAGUAACACAGAAGAAGGUAUUGAAAAGAGUAACACAGAAGAAGGUAUUGAAAAGAGUAACACAGAAGAAGGUAUUGAAAGA
This is a long non-coding RNA of Eriocheir sinensis (Chinese mitten crab), 517 nucleotides long. RefSeq lists it as uncharacterized. The transcript has 2 exons. The record is from RefSeq and is a predicted model, not a curated record. NCBI's taxonomy places the organism in Eukaryota, Metazoa, Arthropoda, Malacostraca, Decapoda, Varunidae.